CAAAGGGAUUACCGGUGGCGGAUGGGCAUGCGGCGCAUUAGCUAGUCGGCGGGGUAACGGCCCACCGAGGCGACGAUGCGUAGGGGUUCUGAGAGGAGGGUCCCCCACACUGGUACUGAGACACGGACCAGACUCCUACGGGAGGCAGCAGUGAGGAAUAUUGGUCAAUGGGCGCGAGCCUGAACCAGCCAAGUCGCGUGAGGGAUGGCGGUCCUACGGAUUGUAAACCUCUUUUGCCGGGGAGCAAGCGUGCGUUCGUGAACGCGCGUCGAGAGUACCCGGAGAAAAAGCAUCGGCUAACUCCGUGCCAGCAGCCGCGGUAAUACGGAGGAUGCGAGCGUUAUCCGGAUUUAUUGGGUUUAAAGGGUGCGUAGGCGGGAUGCCAAGUCAGCGGUAAAAAUGCGGUGCUCAACGCCGUCGAGCCGUUGAAACUGGCGUUCUUGAGUGGGCGAGAAGUAUGCGGAAUGCGUGGUGUAGCGGUGAAAUGCAUAGAUAUCACGCAGAACUCCGAUUGCGAAGGCAGCAUACCGGCGCCCUACUGACGCUGAGGCACGAAAGCGUGGGUAUCGAACAGGAUUAGAUACCCUGGUAGUCCACGCAGUAAACGAUGAAUGCUAACUGUCCGGUGCGAGUGAGCGCUGG
RNAcentral lists this ribosomal RNA (642 nucleotides) under uncultured bacterium. RNAcentral's name for it is "bacterial SSU rRNA". It matches the Rfam family "Bacterial small subunit ribosomal RNA", at positions 202 to 842 of the family's 1533-position model. The record is from RNAcentral.